CUGGUGUGAACAACACACCUGAGAUAUCUGUGAUCUCUCUUCUAGGGAGGUGAAGGACACAAGCCAGGGUAUGGAGGAAGUGGCAAAUUCUCCGAGCAUAAAUCUGCUUAUAAGGGACAUAAGGGAUCAUACCAUGAUGGCCAGGGCACUCUUUCCAAAAUCUUUAAACUGGGAGGAUCUGGUUCCCGACCUGGAUCACGGUCUGGUUCUCCAGUUGCUAGACGCUGAAGUUCUAAGACGUCAUUCAAGGACCAUGUACUCUGCUUCAUAAGAUAACUGCCUAAAAUUUUAAUAAUAAUUGCAAGGAUUACAUAGAUAGAAACAAUCUGUUACUUAAUGUCAUUUGAGUUGUGCAUGCAGUAGGAUUAUAUAAACUUCUAUUGGCAAUCCCUGACCAACAGUUGAAUGAAUGAAACACACAAAGUAGCUUUAUUUGCUAUCUUCAUUUUUUAAGUAAAAUAACAAGAUCCCCCACUUCAUUCAUUCUUCUUCAGGAUGUCCCAACUGCAUGUUAGAUUUUAUUUAUUUUUUCUCCAAGCCCCACAAGUCUUCUGAUUUUUUUUUCAUUGAACACCACAAUUGCAAAUACAGAGCAACUGUCUUGGUUUUUGAGCACUGCCAUUAAAGGAUUUCUUAAACACUGCUAUAAAAAACACGUGCAGAAGUUGUAAGGACUGUUUAUCCGAACACUUUUUUGUUUGGGUUUAUUUUUGUUUAAUGUCACUUCUCUCCGAAUAUUUUCCUUUUCAUAACAGGAUUAGGCAGUCAUGGAAAGGUUUAAUAAACUUUGGGAGUUCAAGGUAUGUGAAAUGUGGGAGAGGGCAGCUGUUACAGUAUCAAUGAGCCGCAAAGCAAUAGUAAUAAGGAAAUUCCUUAUUUUUACAAAUUGCUCAUCACACCCAAACCAUUAGAAUUAAGUGUGGCCGAAAGAGAGAGAGAGAGAGAGAGAGAGGGGAUUUCAAACUUGGGUUAGACUAAUGUCUUACAACAAAAAACAAGGAACAUUCCCAGAGAAGAAACAUCUAAGAUUGCACGUGACCACUGCAUGUCACUGUUGCUCCACGCAGACACUGCUACAACAGCAUUUCUUUAGCAGUUAAAGAAUAAAACAAAAAUAGUCUAAUUUGUGAAAGAAAUAAAGCCCUUCAGCAUUGAGAUUUCAGAUAGUCCUGCACAUCUCAAGUUAGAAUUAUUAGUAGUUUUCUUGUUACUGCAGCAGUGUUAAACUUGGUAAGCUUGUCUUAUGACGAAAUAGAUGCCUUUAAUGGCAGUGCACCAAAGCAAACUAGUAGUAAACUACUGUGAACAUUUAACUGUUGCAUUGUAGUUGCCUUAUAGAAAUUAAAUCUAAAUCAUUAGUUAGUGUUUAACAUUGAUUGUUCACAAAUCUACUAAAAUGUAUACAUGUGGCAAUGGUAUUUCCAACCAUAUGUAGGAAAAAAGCUCUUCUGAAUUGCACUAUUUUAUAACAAACUUUAAUAUUUUGUGAGAUUACCCUCCUUAACUGAUUCAGUGUUUUUUAUUUUAGCAUAUACAUUGUAGACUAUAUUUAAUGCUAAGUUGGCACUCAGUUUCAGCCAUGCUACUAACUGUCAGGAGUAGCCAAUGUUAAUGCCAACUGACAUAUACCAUGUGUUGUUAAUUCUAUUUUGUCUCUAAAUCUACUGUAGAUUUAAAGCACUGUCCAUUAAUAUGCAGUGGUGAAAGAUGAGAGGGUAGGAAAACAUAGAAACGAAAGAAACAGAAAAACAGCAAAAUUGUUAAACACACACCUAUUACAUCUUCCUUAUGCUAUAUUGUUGUCUGGCUAUACUGGAAGGACAGGAGACAGUGAAUAUGGUUUAA
This is a long non-coding RNA of Terrapene triunguis (Three-toed box turtle), 1845 nucleotides long. The record is from Ensembl. NCBI's taxonomy places the organism in Eukaryota, Metazoa, Chordata, Testudines, Emydidae.